GACGAACGCUGGCGGCGUGCUUAACACAUGCAAGUCGAACGCUGAAGCUCAGCUUUUGUUGGGUGGAUGAGUGGCGAACGGGUGAGUAACACGUGAGUAACCUGCCUCCUUCUUUGGGAUAACGCCCGGAAACGGGUGCUAAUACUGGAUAUUCACUGGUCUUCGCAUGGGGGUUGGUGGAAAGGGUUUUUCUGGUGGGGGAUGGGCUCGCGGCCUAUCAGCUUGUUGGUGGGGUGAUGGCCUACCAAGGCUUUGACGGGUAGCCGGCCUGAGAGGGUGACCGGUCACAUUGGGACUGAGAUACGGCCCAGACUCCUGCGGGGGGCAGCAGUGGGGAAUAUUGCACAAUGGGCGCAAGCCUGAUGCAGCGACGCCGCGUGAGGGAUGGAGGCCUUCGGGUUGUGAACCUCUUUCGCUCAUGGUCAAGCCGCAACAAUGGUUGUGGUGAGGGUAGUGGGUAAAGAAGCGCCGGCUAACUACGUG
This 483-nucleotide ribosomal RNA is filed under the name uncultured bacterium. RNAcentral describes it as "partial 16S ribosomal RNA". It matches the Rfam family "Bacterial small subunit ribosomal RNA", at positions 28 to 507 of the family's 1533-position model. The record is from RNAcentral.